Molecule: non-coding RNA, 6357 nt
Organism: Prunus avium (sweet cherry)
Lineage: Eukaryota; Viridiplantae; Streptophyta; Magnoliopsida; Rosales; Rosaceae
Source: RefSeq, a predicted model, not a curated record
CACAUAUCAGUCUGCCUAAAAUUCCCCCCCUCCCUAUACAUGCGUUGGAGAUGAAUUCGGGCCAAAUUUUGGGAUUUUUCUGGGUUUAGCCCCAGGGUUGGAGAUGGCCUCACACACACACACGCUACUCUCUCAGUCUCUCUCUCUCUCACGAAUCUCCCUCAGUCUUCUCUUCGUUCUAAUUUUUCUUUUCGUUUUGACCUAACACUAAGCGGCGCCUCACCUCUCUCUCUCUCGACCCGCCUCCUCCCUUAGAUCUUCAAUCCUCGCAUAGCACCAGCACCACUACUCUCUCAGUCUCUCUCUCUCUCUCUCACUCACGAUCCUCUCACUCUCAGACUCUCAGUCGAUCAGCCACCGCGCCUCCUUCAGCCGAUCAGCCACCGCGUCUCUCUCAGUCUCAGACUCUCUCACGAUUCUCACGAUCCUCUCACUCUCAGACUCUCGGACUCUCAGACUCUCAGUCGAUCAGCCCUGCACGCAGCGACAGUUUGUGAUCACCAUCUAUUCCUCUCCUCCGGUUUCUUCUGUGGGGUUCUCUCUCAAAUCAGUCAAAGGAUAUAUUGGGGAGAUGGAGUACUGGAGUUAUUGCCUCAUUUGUUAGGCUUGCAUCUCUCUCUUAAGGCAGUUUCUUCUUGUAUUGGUAAAAGAUCAUCAAGAGACAUCAAAUCCGUUCUAGACCAAGAAGUAUGUAGACAUUGGUUUUCCCUUCUUCUUCUUUUCUUGGCACCAUUUCUUAACUACAUAUUUCUUUUGGUGUUCAUACUUUGGUUUGUAAGGUGCUUGUGUCCAAUUUCAUGUAAUUGGUUAAUUUCUUUUUCUAUUGUGCUCUAAUAUUUGUUUCUUGAUAAUGUUAACCAUUUUGUUCUUAUACCACUUCUCCUUUUUGUUCUAACUCCUUAAUAUCACAAAUUCAGAUUCUGGCACUUACAGUAGUAUCCUUUGUCGUGGCUGCAAUAACUGAUCUGCAAUUCUAUCACAAGUUCUAACACUUGCACUAAUAUGAAAUUUUGGUUCUGCAAAUGUAGGAAAUAUAGAUAAUGGAAUUUGAGAUAUUGGCAUGACAUUUGUUAAAGCCUAAUUCAUGUUUCAUUUUAAUUAUUCUUGUACAUUGAGAUGGGUAUUAGUGAGCCUGGGAUGACUAAAACAUUGAAGAUGGCAUUUCAUCUCAUUGGAUCAUCCUGAAGAGUAGGUUGAAUAAUAGAGAUUUUCUUGUAGUUACAUAUUAUGUAUUAGAUACCUUUGUUCAUUUCAGUAUGUUUUGUUUGCAGUGUAAUUUUUAACGUGUUUUUAAUGUAUAACAUUUAUUUUAUAUUAAAUUAGUCGAUCUAAUUAUAUUUUAGUGGAAUUUUUUUUUUUAAUAUUAUCCUUUUGUUUCUUGACGGUUAAAAUCCAUCAAGAAAAGAGUUGAUAAGUGUCAAGAAAAAGGUACGCUGACAGUUUAAAAGCGUCAAGGUUGACUAUAAGUUGACGGUUUAAACUGAAAAGUGACGCCUUUCCUACUCCCAUUCUCAAUCCCUUAAGGCCUGUUUGGUGUGCUGGCUUCGAUAUGGGCGUCUCUCCACCAUGGUUUCAACGCCCCUCUGUAUCUACUGUGAUUUUAGCCAUUGUUGCAAGCCUUGGUUUACUUUAUUGGGCUGAGUCACUGAUGUUGCAGUAACCAUAUAUGAGUUUCAAUGCCUAAGCUUCUUGGUGUGAGACCUAUGCAAAUCAAGAGCUGAUCUUCUCAUUGAGUCAUUGAAGCUGGUGAUAAAAUAUACUAAACAUUAAUAAAAAGAUAAAAGAUUUAAGUCCAGUCCAGCUCAGUGCUGUACUAAACAACUGACAAGACUCAAACCCAAGCCAGUCCAAGCCAGCCCAGUCCAAUACUUGAAGCCGAAUCCAUGCCAGUCUAGGCCAGCCCACCAAACAUGCCUUAAGGGCUAUCACCAAAUUACAAGGAUCAUAAAAUAUGACUCUCACGGCAACUCAUUGUGUUGCCUCAAUCCCAACGUACCCAAUCUGCAAGCAUCAACAUAAACCUCCUCGAUCUCUCUCCUGGCGGAUCUUAUCAAGAUCAAAUAGAGUCUCAAAUGUUAAAAUUCCGCAGUCGACAUCUUUAACCUUUGAGCCAAGAAACGAAAUUGUGCAGGUGUGAGUGCUUCAAUCUGUACGAGCAGCAGGUUCCAUAUGGUCAGGCGUGGGCUUGGCAGAAGAGCAUAGUUAACGAGAAAAAAACUUUGAUUCAGAGGAAUGAGGAUUGCUCAGACUCGCUGUUUGUUCUUCAGCAUUGUCCUGUUUAUACCUUGGGGACUGCUAGUUCAGAGCAGUUCCUUAAUUUUGACGUCAAGGACUCACCUUUCGACAUUUAUCGAACCGAACGUGGUGGCGAGGUUACAUAUCAUGGUCCUGGUCAGAUAGUUAUGUACCCCAUUAUGAAUCUCCGAAAUCACAAGAUGGAUCUUCAUUGGUACCUCAGGUCACUUGAGGAGGUGAUCAUCCGUGCUCUUUCAAAGGAAACCAGAAACUGGCAGCCAUCGGAAUACGAGUAUCACAGUGGAUAAUGUAUCAUGGCUUAGCGUUGAAUGUCACCACUGACUUAACCCCUUUUCGUUCAAUAGUGCCCUGUGGGUUACGAGACUAUCAGGUUGGAAGUGUUAGAGGCUUGCUGAAGGAAUUUCAGUCAUCCGCCGACUGUGAAAGAGCACGUGUACCUGAUCCUGAUGAUGGCCAGCUACUUGAUAUUACUUGUAAAUCUUUGAUCAAAGAGUUUUCAGAAGUUUUCCAGGUUAGAAUCAAUUAUGAAACCAUCUCAAGGCUGGAGUUAUUAGAAAGGACCUGUAGACCGUUUGGUAGAGGAACCUAAUUAGUUGAGGCUGGGGCCCGACAUCUCUAAAUCAUUGUUGAUGUGAAACACAUAUUAGCCCUUGGAUUUGAAAAAUAUAUUUGGCUUAUUCAUUAAAUAAGCCGCAAUCUACGAGGUCCAAAAACGCGCUAAUAAUAUAACCAAAGGAUUAUAAAGGGAGCUUGAGAUUCAGGCCCCUAAAUCCCAUAUUGAAACUCGAGAUAAUCCUUUGUUCUAGGGCUAUUUAUAACUAUCCAAUUAAGAAUUCGCAGAUGUGUUAGCAAGUGCAUCAAGGAUUUUGUCAUCGAUUCCCAUUUUCACAAACAAAAGAACACUCCAAACACCUAUAUAUUACACAAAGACUCCAAAAAGUCCAGCCCACUUUUACGGAAAAAACAAACCCAAAAUAAAUAAAAACAAAACAACACCCACAACCCAAGGCACCCUGCCAGACUCUCUGUCUCAUCUCUGUAACCAUCGAUAUCCUCCAUAACCACCAGAAAACCUACAUGCAUAACCACUAAAAAAUCGAAAGGAAACUGCAAAAGCAUCACAAAAACAAACAACAUUUCUUGAAAAAAGAUUACAAUCUUGUUCGACAACAGAGGUAAAAGCAUAACUCAAACCCAUUUACUUAUUUUCUGAAGUGUCUUUACCAUUCAAGUUAUUAACAUGCAAUAACACUUGGGUUUUGUAAAAGAAACCCGAAUCUGCAACUCACCACAGCCUCAGGAUUCAAGGUAUACCCACUUUCUAUAUUUUUUUAUUUUUUUUAUUUAUUUAUCAGUAUGACUAUAUUAUCUGAAGCUCAAAGGCCCAAAACCAGAGUGAGGAGGAAGCUCUCUUCUCUCUGGUUAGUUAGUUAGUUAGUUCCUUACCUCCAAGGCCUCGAAGCCACUCUCAGACUGAGAGUUUGAGACUGCGAGACUGCUCCGUUGCUUAUUAGGUUUUGGGAUGAGAUCGCACUUCUGUUGCACUGCAGUAGAACUUUGUUUAUUUAAAAUAAUGUGUCAUUGAAUUACAGAUAUGUCAGGCAAAGAACCUUUCACAACAGCAAAAAGGCCCAGGCAAAUCCACAAACAAAGCCACCAUAAAACCCAAGAAAACAACCAACACAAAAGCAAAAUCCAAAACACCAAAGCCAAGAUCAAAAAGACUAGACGAUCCCAACUAUGUUCAAAUCAAAAGCAAUAUGCUCACUUUUCAGACCACAUUGAGCAACAUAAAAGACAGACUUAAUGCAAACAAACAGGCCCUCAGACAGCUAGCCAAGACACCAUUGUGGAACCUAAUCAGUGCUUACAGAGAGGGCUACCUAACAAACACAAAUUGCAAAAAGUCUAACUAUGACAUUCUUAGACUAAUCAAUACCUACAACCCUGAGACCAAAAAGUUAAUACUAUAAUUGCUUUCUCCUCAUAUGUAUUAACACGUCACAUUGAAAACCAUGUUUGUAGUAUUUGUUUACACCAUAAUCAACAGAGCAUGUCCAGCCUCAAAACAAUUAGCACCAAGCCAGACACUCCUUCUCCACUGCCGAAGGAGGACACUCUUCCAAGGUGCCAGACACCUGCCGAAGCUCCCGACUGCUGAAGCUCCCAAUUGCCAAACCUAAUCUCCAUGACACGUGUCACCACCACAGCGACUUGCACAAAAUCCCACAUUGGAAAUCUACACAAACCUCCCACUUUCACUUCCCUAUAAAUAGGGAACAGUACCCUAGUAAAAAAGGUAACUAAUUUUUUACUUUUACCGUUACUCUGCCAAAGUUACCACUUAUAGCUGACUUAAGCAUCGAAGAGCCUUCGGCCGGCACCACACCGGUGUCCGAAGCUUAACGACUGCUUCUCCUACUUUGUCUUCUGCAGGGUACCCAGCUACCGAAGGUCCUAGCCCUUUGUCCUACCGAAGGUCCUAGCCACUUUCCCUGCUAAAGACACUCCCCUUUUCUCUAAGUUGACCCUCUACCAUUUUGAGCAUCAACAGUAUUGGUUGUGUCAAAGAGGUAACUUGAUAAGUCCUAUUGUUGGAAGAGAAGACAUGACUCCGGCAGCUGCGAGAUGGAGCCUUCCAGAGCUGAACGUGAAGCUAACUCAUUUGAAAAAUGAGCACAUUAAGAUAACCAUUGCUGAAAAUGAAGACGACAAUGAAGAAAAAGAGAGUGAUACCGAUCAUAAUGAUGGUGGAGGUGUUGAAGAUAACGAAGAGAAUCAAGAUGAGAAUGAACUAGAGAAUCAAGACCAAUUGCUUAAACAACUGCAUAAAAGGUAUAAACAAGAGGCUCAAGAUCAAGAAUCCAAAUUAACUUUGAAUGAUUGGUGCAAGAGUCAAAAACAGAAUACUUGCAAAAGGGAAAAUGAUAUUGCUCAGCAACAACUGUUUACCAGUGGUGAAACUGUGAAAAAAGAUGCAGAGCAAACAAAAUCUCAAAUCCAUGAGCAAAAGCAGGAAAAAAUGAAUGAACACAACAUGGAUGAAGACAUUGCUACUGACCAUAAUGAACAAGUGCAAGAGAAGCAUCAGCAACAACUUGAAUCCCAACCCGACAGCCAAGAAAAGAUGUAUCAAAACAUUUUUGUGGAGAUGGUGGGGUCAAUACCAAAGUACUACAAGGAUGAAAUGAAGCCUGCCCAUGAACGCAACCAUGAGCUCAAAGAAGCAGUUGAUUAUUGGAUAGACAAAGCAGAUGAUCUCAAGUAUAAGAUGCAGGUUGCAAUUCAAUCGUGCAUGGAAAAAAAUGCAUUUAUUGAAAAAAUCUGUAGAGAAAAGGAAGCUGUACAGAAAAAAACAAAGAAACUAAAGAAGAAGCUUGAACAACAAGAAGAACAAAACAAAAAGCUACAAGCACAACUAGUGGAAGAGAAAUUGAAGAGGAGGCACCUGCAGAAUAACUAUGAACUGCUUGAAAGAGAGAAAAUGUCAUGCAUUGAGACCAUGAAACAAAAUGACUUCGAUAUUGCAUCUUUAGCACUAUGGGGUUUACAACAUUCUUGAUGCCAUCUGCAAGCAAAGAUUGGAAAGCAUACUGGAGAUUUUCACUUGAUGGGAGUACAUUUGGAAUGGAAAAAGAGUCAUUGUACAAGGGUUGAUAGGCGAUACAUCAAUAUCUUAUAGAUGCCUAUAAAGAGUUACUUCAAAUUGAGGGGAAGAUCAACCCUGUAAAGCAUCAAAAUGCAUGUGGUGAUUUUAAUGGAACCCAACAAUCCUAUCUUUUGGAGUUUAAAGUUUUAGAUCAAGAAUAGGAAUUUUGUCCCAUUCCAUCCAUAUAUGAUGUUUGUCUAGUUUUGGAAUGAAACAUAACUAAGGAAUUUACCUAAGUUGACUGUGGAGUCAAUUCCACUUAAGAGCCAUAGAACUACUUGGAAUGUAAACUCACUGCAAAUGCCCUUUCAUUAAUUGGCUGUAUUAAAAUUAGAAAAGAAAAUAACUCCAAGAUAGUGAGGAAAUGGAGUACAUUCCUAUUCCAACUAUAUUAUUCCGGUCAAACAAACGGGGCCUAAGUUUCAAGUGGUUGAUAGUGAAUAGAACUAAUG